Molecule: ribosomal RNA, 262 nt
Filed under: uncultured prokaryote
Description: partial 16S ribosomal RNA
Rfam family: Bacterial small subunit ribosomal RNA
Source: RNAcentral
UACGUAGGGGUCGAGCGUUGUCCGGAAUUACUGGGCGUAAAGAGCUCGUAGGUGGUUUGUCACGUCGUCUGUGAAAUUCCGGGGCUUAACCUCGGGCGUGCAGGCGAUACGGGCAAUACUUGAGUGCUGUAGGGGAGACUGGAAUUCCUGGUGUAGCGGUGAAAUGCGCAGAUAUCAGGAGGAACACCAAUGGCGAAGGCAGGUCUCUGGGCAGUUACUGACGCUGAGGAGCGAAAGCAUGGGUAGCGAACAGGAUUAGAUA